CUCACUUGCUCGGGCUAUCAGGCCAUCUGCCCUCUCUCCGCAUGGGCUCCAUUAAGUAGCCUGAGCUGAAAGAGCAAAGUGUACAAUGGACUGUAGCCGAGCUACUUUGUGGUGGGAUAAUAAUUAUUGCUUCACAGUGGUGCCUUUAUGCAAACAUGCUGAGUGUGCAAACACAAAAGAGGGAGAAGGAAGAACUUCAGAUACAAGCCCCGCUCUUUCCCCCUACCUGGCUCCUGCCUAGGCCAGAUGUAGAGCCAAGAUUUCAUUGAUUUCAAAGAGUGACAUUCUAUAUGGUCUGUAUUUGAUAUGACAAACAUUUGCCGGUUAAAGGUACUGUUGUUAUUUUA
This is a long non-coding RNA of Hemicordylus capensis (graceful crag lizard), 347 nucleotides long. RefSeq lists it as uncharacterized. The record is from RefSeq and is a predicted model, not a curated record. The transcript is spliced from 2 exons. NCBI's taxonomy places the organism in Eukaryota, Metazoa, Chordata, Lepidosauria, Squamata, Cordylidae.